UACGGGGGGGCAAGCGUUGUUCGGAAUUACUGGGCGUAAAGGGCUCGUAGGCGGCCAACUAAGUCGGAUGUGAAAUCCCCAAGCUUAACUUGGGAACUGCAUCCGAUACUGGAUGGCUUGAAUCCGGGAGAGGGAUGCAGAAUUCCAGGUGUAGCGGUGAAAUGCGUAGAUGUCUGGAGGAAUACCGGUGGCGAAGGCGGCAUCCUGGACCGGCAUUGACGCUGAGGAGCGAAAGCUAGGGGAGCAAACGGG
Molecule: ribosomal RNA, 252 nt
Filed under: uncultured bacterium
Lineage: Bacteria
Description: partial 16S ribosomal RNA
Rfam family: Bacterial small subunit ribosomal RNA
Source: RNAcentral